RNAcentral lists this ribosomal RNA (499 nucleotides) under uncultured bacterium. Its description in RNAcentral is "partial 16S ribosomal RNA". It matches the Rfam family "Bacterial small subunit ribosomal RNA", at positions 28 to 523 of the family's 1533-position model. The record is from RNAcentral.
GAUGAACGCUAGCGGCAGGCCUAAUACAUGCAAGACGAACGGUAAGCUUUGUAGCAAUACGGAGCCUAGAGUGUCGUAAGGGUGCGUAACACGUAUGCAAUCUACCCUGUACAGGAGUAUAGCACCCCGAAAGGGGAAUUAACCCUCCAUAACAUAGUGAGUCGGCAACGACUUAUUAUUAAAACUGAGGUGGUACAGGAUUAGCAUGCUUCUGAUUAGCUAGUUGGUAGUGUAAUGGACUACAAAGGCAAUGAUCAGUAGGGGAACUGAGAGGUUGAUCCCCCACACUGGCACUGAGAUACGGGCCAGACUCCUACGGGAGGCAGCAGUAGGGAAUAUUGGACAAUGGGUGAUAGCCUGAUCCAGCCAUGCCGCGUGCAGGAAGAAGGCCUUCUGGGUUGUAAACUGCUUUUAUCUGGGGAUAAAAAGGCCUUGCGAGGCAAACUGAAGGUACCAGAUGAAUAAGCCACGGCUAACUACGUGCCAGCCGCCGCGGUAA